UAGAAUUAAAAGUAAUGGACUAUAAUAAUAUUAUAGCCCAAUAAUUUAUUUAGAGUCCAAGAGAAGUGGAUUUAAUGGACUAAGGAUGUUAUAUUAUUUAAACAAGCCCAAUUAAGGAGGGACAUAUUGGACAUUUGGUAUACUAAAUAAGAAUUAAAAAAAAAAAUCAAUUAUUGAUACGGAAAUGUCCAUUUUACCCUUUUGUCCCAUUUUGGUGAAUUAUGGCUAGAGAAUCCUAUGUAAUCUUGCAAAAUCUAGCAAAUUAUUGAAGGGGGAAUAAUUAUAACCUAGCAUGUGACUUAUAGCUCAAUUAUCAAUCAUCUAGAAUUUACUAGAUUCCUUGAAUUAUAACUUAUAUAGAUUAAAAGUGAGAAAAGCCUCACUUUAAUUAUCAAACUUGUCCAAGACUUAGAGAGGGAGAAAGAGAGAAAGAGAGAAGGGAGGAAUGGCAUUAUGAGAGAGUGAGAAGAGAUACCAUUCGGCAGCUCCAAGAGGAGAAGGAGAAGAAAAGACUUUGAUCUUCAUACACCUCAAGAUCCAUCUCAUAUCUUUGAAGAAGAAAGAAAAUCAAGCAAAGGUAUAAACCCUUUUUGUUUAUGUAAUUUUUGAUGGUUGUAAAUCAAACCUUGAAUCCAUAGUUCUACACUCAAAAACCUUAGAUAUAUGUG
Molecule: long non-coding RNA, 668 nt
Filed under: Panax ginseng (ginseng)
Lineage: Eukaryota; Viridiplantae; Streptophyta; Magnoliopsida; Apiales; Araliaceae
Description: long non-coding RNA (PGIN_LNC011911)
Source: RNAcentral